This 490-nucleotide ribosomal RNA is filed under the name uncultured bacterium. RNAcentral describes it as "bacterial SSU rRNA". It matches the Rfam family "Bacterial small subunit ribosomal RNA", at positions 15 to 518 of the family's 1533-position model. The record is from RNAcentral.
GAUCAUGGCUCAGGAUGGACGCUGGCGGCGUGCCUAACACAUGCAAGUCGAACGGGGUGUCAUUCUUCGGAGAGGACACUUAGUGGCGGACGGGUGAGUAACGCGUGGGUAACCUGCCUCAUACAGGGGGAUAGCAGUUGGAAACGACUGAUAAUACCGCAUAAGCGCACAGCAUCGCAUGGUGCAGUGUGAAAAAACUCCGGUGGUAUGAGAUGGACCCGCGUCUGAUUAGCUUGUUGGCGGGGUAACGGCCCACCGAGGCGACGAUCAGUAGCCGGCCUGAGAGGGUGAACGGCCACAUUGGGACUGAGACACGGCCCAAACUCCUACGGGAGGCAGCAGUGGGGAAUAUUGCACAAUGGGGGAAACCCUGAUGCAGCGAACCGCCGCGUGAAGGAUGAAGUAUUUCGGUAUGUAAACUUCUAUCAGCAGGGAAGAUGAUGACGGUACCUGACUAAGAAGCCCCGGCUAACUACGUGCCAGCAGCUGC